GAUGAAGAACGCAGUGAAAUGCGAUAAGUAGUGUGAAUUGCAGAAUUCAGUGAAUCAUCGAAUCUUUGAACGCACAUUGCGCCCUUUGGUAUUCCAUUGGGCAUGCCUGUUCGAGCGUCGUUUGGUCGAUCAAGCUCUGCUUGGUGAUGGGCGAUUUUGUCCUGCCGUUGCGUGUGGACUCGCCUCAAAACGAUUGGCAGCCGGUAUCCUUUGGCCCCCGCAUGCAGCAGAGACCGCGUGCAUGGAGUCUAGGAGAAGGCGUCCAGGAGUGUACUUUUUAAGCUGGACCUCGGAUCAGGUAGGGAUACCCGCUGAACUUAAGCAUAUCAAUAAGCGGAGGA
This 341-nucleotide unclassified non-coding RNA is filed under the name soil metagenome. RNAcentral describes it as "partial contains 5.8S ribosomal RNA, internal transcribed spacer 2, and large subunit ribosomal RNA". The stretch from base 1 to 120 matches the Rfam family "5.8S ribosomal RNA", at positions 35 to 154 of the family's 154-position model. The record is from RNAcentral.